Molecule: long non-coding RNA, 241 nt
Organism: Vombatus ursinus (common wombat)
Lineage: Eukaryota; Metazoa; Chordata; Mammalia; Diprotodontia; Vombatidae
Exons: 3
Source: RefSeq, a predicted model, not a curated record
GGGCUGGGGAAGCACAAGGAGGAAUUGCAGGAGGAUAGACUGAGGGCAGCUGCGGUUGGAUCUAAGCCCCAGCGCAAAUGAAUGAAAGCUCCUUGAGGGUAAGAACUGUUCUUAUCCACAGCAUCUGCACAAUGCCCGGCACAUAGUAGGAGUUCUAGACUACCCACUGGCAAACCUCUGUCCAGGAAGACUUUCAACUGGCUAAGCAAGUCAUCAUCUUCAGAUGGAGGCUUAAUGCUUG